RNAcentral lists this long non-coding RNA (365 nucleotides) under Mytilus galloprovincialis (Mediterranean mussel). Lineage: Eukaryota; Metazoa; Mollusca; Bivalvia; Mytilida; Mytilidae. The record is from RNAcentral.
CAGUGUAGUGUACUACCAGUGAGACAAAUAAUAUCAAAAUUAUAGAAACUUCUACCAGCUCUAACUCAAAAUAUUGACAAUUCUGUGUUAAGGGGGUGUAAAAUUCAGUUUGACAGAUUCAGACGUGAUAAAAUUUGACCUUUUUGAACUGGACCAAAUCACUACUUAACAUAAAGAUUCAGCACCCAAUUUUUUUUUAACAUGUAAAUACAUCCCCCUACUUAAUAUUUCAUGCAUUUAAUAUCAAGAAAUAAAUUGGGAAAGUGUAUCAAAUAAAACAUGCAAGUUAUACACUGUUUACACUAGGGACUAUAUUCGUAGACAACGAAAACCAAAGGACGAUAACUGUGUCCUUGGACCUACUG